AUUCUAUUAGUAUAUAAGUAUAUUUAAUUUCCAAUUAAAAGGAUUAAUAAAAUUAAAUAGAAUA
Molecule: transfer RNA, 64 nt
Filed under: Graptopsaltria bimaculata
Lineage: Eukaryota; Metazoa; Arthropoda; Insecta; Hemiptera; Cicadidae
Description: tRNA-Gly
Source: RNAcentral